UCUCGCUAGCUCUUUCUGAGACCGCAAAACAUAAAUGCAGAGCACUUUCAAAGAUCAACGGCUCACUAAACAUUGUAAUUCAUAACAACGAAGAUCCAGUCAUAGUCAUACUCAAUAUCAAUCAAAAGCAAAGCAUAAAAAUGACAGAGGUGCCCUCUAAUUGGUGCUUAUAUAAGAAGAGGAUGACUCAACAGGAAAAUAAAUAGACAGGCCCUUCGCAGAGGGAAGCAUUGAUUUGCAGAGGUGCCAGAGCUCAAGAUUUGAAAGCAGAGAUAAUAAUUUUGGGUGGCAUGCUUUCAUUGUCAACGCAAUGACCAAGAGUUCUCAAUAUCUUCCAUGCUACUCAUGCUAUAGGCGGUUCCCAAACAGAAAAGUAAAGUUUUAACUCCCUCACGACCAAUCAAUCACACUCCAUGGCUAGCCGAAUCCUCGGGUACCGUCCAUACUAACAUCAAUCCGGGGGGAGUCUUGUUUUACAGUUAUGUUUUCGAUUUAAGCGUGGAACUGGGCAUUUCAAUUACCGGCCCCUUUCUCGUGAAUGACUGUGAAUAAACACAUGUCGAUGAUAACACUCCUAGCAUGGAAGAUACCAAUAGCCCUCUGUCACCACAUGAGCGGUUCGGGCAUGCAAAGCAGAUUAUUUCUUGAAGGUUUAGAGAAUGGCACAUGCCAAUUUACUUGGAACGGCAGGUAGAUACCACAAAUAGGUAGGUAUGGUGGACUCUCAUGGAAAAAAAUUGGGUUUAUGGAAGUGGGUGCACAAGCAGUAUUCCGCUUAAUACAAGUGAAGGCUAGCAAAAGACUGGGAAGCGACCAACUAGAGAGCGACAACAGUCAUCAAGAUGCAAUGAGUUUGACUAACAUUGAAUGCAAGCAUGAAAAGGAUAUAAAUCACCAUGAAUACAAACAUCAUAGAGGCUAUGUUGAUUUUGUUUCAACUACAUGCAUGAAUAUGCGCCAAGUCAAGCCACUUGAACAUUCAAAGGAGAAUACCAUCCUAUCAUACCACAUCAUAGUCAUCUCAAAAUCUAUAUUGGCAUUCAAGACAAACCAUUAUAAGCUCUCAGCUAAAUAAGCAUGGCAUCAGAAACUAUAAUAUCUAAGUUGUCAUUGCAAACAUGGUUCUCUCACAACAAAGCUAAAUCUGGGUCGACAAGCUAGUCAUAAUUACAAAAACAAAAUAGAUAGAGUUCAUGCCAGCUUUUCAGUCUCAGUCACUUCAUCAUAUAUCAUAAUUGUUGCCUUUCAUUUGCACGAUCGAACGAUGUGAACGAUAAUAAGAGCAUUGGACUAAGCUGAAUCUGCAGGCAAACACAAAGGAGAAGAAAAAAUAAUAUGGCUCUUUGAAAGCUAAACAGGUAAGCAUGUAAGAACCACUAAACAUUGUGUUAGAGCAUAUACCUCCAUAUGUGGUUUUGGUAAUUGAUGACAAUUCCUA
Molecule: long non-coding RNA, 1438 nt
Filed under: Hordeum vulgare
Lineage: Eukaryota; Viridiplantae; Streptophyta; Magnoliopsida; Poales; Poaceae
Description: long non-coding RNA (HVUL_LNC015112)
Source: RNAcentral